UAGGGAAUCUUCGGCAAUGGACGGAAGUCUGACCGAGCAACGCCGCGUGAGUGAAGAAGGUUUUCGGAUCGUAAAGCUCUGUUGUAAGAGAAAAACGAGUGUGAGAGUGGAAAGUUCACACUGUGACGGUAUCUUACCAGAAAGGGACGGCUAACUACGUGCCAGCAGCCGCGGUAAUACGUAGGUCCCGAGCGUUGUCCGGAUUUAUUGGGCGUAAAGCGAGCGCAGGCGGUUAGAUAAGUCUGAAGUUAAAGGCUGUGGCUUAACCAUAGUAGGCUUUGGAAACUGUUUAACUUGAGUGCAAGAGGGGAGAGUGGAAUUCCAUGUGUAGCGGUGAAAUGCGUAGAUAUAUGGAGGAACACCGGUGGCGAAAGCGGCUCUCUGGCUUGUAACUGACGCUGAGGCUCGAAAGCGUGGGGAGCAAACAGGAUUAGAUACCCUGGUAGUCCACGCUGUAAACGAUGAGUGCUAGGUGUUAGACCCUUUCCGGGGUUUAGUGCCGUAGCUAACGCAUUAAGCACUCCGCCUGGGGAGUACGACCGCAAGGUUG
This 550-nucleotide ribosomal RNA is filed under the name uncultured bacterium. RNAcentral's name for it is "bacterial SSU rRNA". It matches the Rfam family "Bacterial small subunit ribosomal RNA", at positions 355 to 896 of the family's 1533-position model. The record is from RNAcentral.